This 492-nucleotide ribosomal RNA is filed under the name uncultured bacterium. Its description in RNAcentral is "partial 16S ribosomal RNA". It matches the Rfam family "Bacterial small subunit ribosomal RNA", at positions 29 to 507 of the family's 1533-position model. The record is from RNAcentral.
AGUGAACGCUGGCGGUAGGCCUAACACAUGCCAGUCGAACGGCAGCACAGUAAGAGCUUGCUCUUACGGGUGGCGAGUGGCGGACGGGUGAGGAAUACAUCGGAAUCUACUUUUUCGUGGGGGAUAACGUAGGGAAACUUACGCUAAUACCGCAUACGACCUACGGGUGAAAGCAGGGGAUCUUCGGACCUUGCGCGAUUGAAUGAGCCGAUGUCGGAUUAGAUAGUUGGCGGGGUAAAGGCCCACCAAGGCGACGAUCCGUAGCUGGUCUGAGAGGAUGAUCAGCCACACUGGAACUGAGACACGGUCCAGACUCCUACGGGAGGCAGCAGUGGGGAAUAUUGGACAAUGGGCGCAAGCCUGAUCCAGCCAUACCGCGUGGGUGAAGAAGGCCUUCGGGUUGUAAAGCCCUUUUGUUGGGAAAGAAAAGCAGCAGGUUAAUACCCCGCUGUUCUGACGGUACCCAAAGAAUAAGCACCGGCUAACUUCGUG